AGAACGAACGCUGGCGGCAUGCCUAAUACAUGCAAGUCGAACGAAGGCUUCGGCCUUAGUGGCGCACGGGUGCGUAACGCGUGGGAAUCUGCCCCUUGGUUCGGAAUAACAGUUGGAAACGACUGCUAAUACCGGAUGAUGACGAAAGUCCAAAGAUUUAUCGCCAAGGGAUGAGCCCGCGUAGGAUUAGCUAGUUGGUGAGGUAAAGGCUC
This 212-nucleotide ribosomal RNA is filed under the name uncultured soil bacterium. RNAcentral describes it as "partial 16S ribosomal RNA". It matches the Rfam family "Bacterial small subunit ribosomal RNA", at positions 26 to 266 of the family's 1533-position model. The record is from RNAcentral.